UAGGGAAUCUUCGGCAAUGGGGGGAACCCUGACCGAGCAACGCCGCGUGAGUGAAGAAGGUUUUCGGAUCGUAAAGCUCUGUUGUUAAGGAAGAACGAGUGUGAGAAUGGAAAGUUCAUGCUGUGACGGUACUUAACCAGAAAGGGACGGCUAACUACGUGCCAGCAGCCGCGGUAAUACGUAGGUCCCGAGCGUUGUCCGGAUUUAUUGGGCGUAAAGCGAGCGCAGGCGGUUAGAAAAGUCUGAAGUGAAAGGCAGUGGCUCAACCAUUGUAGGCUUUGGAAACUGUUUAACUUGAGUGCAGAAGGGGAGAGGGGAAUUCCAUGUGUAGCGGUGAAAUGCGUAGAUAUAUGGAGGAACACCGGUGGCGAAAGCGGCUCUCUGGUCUGUAACUGACGCUGAGGCUCGAAAGCGUGGGGAGCGAACAGG
Molecule: ribosomal RNA, 429 nt
Filed under: Bacteroidota bacterium
Lineage: Bacteria; Pseudomonadati; Bacteroidota
Also listed under: 1 other name
Description: Bacteroidetes bacterium partial 16S ribosomal RNA
Rfam family: Bacterial small subunit ribosomal RNA
Source: RNAcentral